UUCUUUAAAAUUAAAAAAUUUGGCGGUAUUUUAGUCUUUUCAGAGGAACCUGUUUUUUAAUUGAUGGUCCACGAUUAUAUUUACUUUUGUUUUUAAUUUAUAUAUCAUCGUUUAUAAAAAUUUUAUGAGAUAAUUUUUUCAGAUCAAGGUGUAGUUUAUAUAAAAGUUAAAAUGGGUUACAUUGAUAAUUGAUAAUAAAUUGGAUUUGAAAGUAAGCUCUAGAAUAUGUACAUAUCGCCCGUCGCUUUCGUUAUAAAAUGAAAUAAGUCGUAACAAAGUAGAUUUAUUGGAAAAUGAAUCUAGAAUGCAAAAAGAAGCUAAUUUAGCAUUUUAUUUACAUUAAAAAAUUGAUUUUAUAAUCCUUUUUGAUAAGAAUAUAUUUAUUUUUUUUUUGGUUUUUGGUUUUUUUAUAAAAUUAUUUUUUUUUUAUUAAAUUUUUGAAAUAAUGUAAUGAUAGUAUAUUUAGUACUGUGAAGGGUUAUUUUUUUUAUUUAAAAGAAGAUUUUAUUUAUUGUACCUUGUGUAUCAGGGUUGUUUAAUUUGUCUCGAUUUUUAAGGAGUUAUUUUAUUGUUUUAUAGAUAUUUAUAAAAAUAUAAUAGUAAUGAAAUGUUAUUCGUCUUGGAUUGUAUCUAGUUGCUUAAGAAAUUAAUUUAAUUAAAAAGGAAUUAAUUAAUUUAUUUUGGGAUAAGCUUGUAAUUAAAUUUUUAUAAAUUUAUUGUUUUAUAUUGUUUAUAGGAUUAGAAAUUUUUAUUGGUUUUAGUAUGUUAUUAUUAAUUUAAAUUUUUUAUUAGGCUGUAUUGUUAAUUUUAUUAUUUUAUUAAUAAUGGAUUAAUUAGUAAGAUUAUAAUAAGGAAUUCGGCAAACUUAAUUUUCACCUGUUUAUUAAAAACAUGUCCUUUAGAUUAUGAUUUAAGGUCGGGCCUGCCCAAUGAUUUAAUGGCCGCAGUAUAUUGACUGUGCAAAGGUAGCAUGAUCAUUAGUUUCUUAAUUGGAAGCUUGUAUGAAUGGUUUAAUGAGAAAUUAACUGUCUCUAGAAUUUUAUUUUUGAGUGAAAAAGCUUAAAUAAUAAUAAAAGACGAGAAGACCCUAUAGAGUUUUUUUGUUGGGGUGAUGGAAAAAUUUAGUUAACUUUUUUAUUUUAUGGG
Molecule: ribosomal RNA, 1146 nt
Filed under: Leiochrinus sp. NLG-2012
Lineage: Eukaryota; Metazoa; Arthropoda; Insecta; Coleoptera; Tenebrionidae
Description: partial 16S ribosomal RNA
Source: RNAcentral